GUUUUAAUAGUUUAAAAAAAACAUUGGUCUUGUAAACCAAAAAUAAAAAUAUAUUUUUUAAAACU
Molecule: transfer RNA, 65 nt
Filed under: Dolichopus ungulatus
Lineage: Eukaryota; Metazoa; Arthropoda; Insecta; Diptera; Dolichopodidae
Description: tRNA-Thr
Rfam family: tRNA
About the family: Transfer RNA (tRNA) molecules are approximately 80 nucleotides in length.
Source: RNAcentral